GAUGAACGCUAGCGAUAGGCUUAACACAUGCAAGUCGAGGGGCAGCAUGGUCUUAGCUUGCUAAGACUGAUGGCGACCGGCGCACGGGUGCGUAACGCGUAUGCAACUUGCCUCACAGAGGGGGAUAACCCGUCGAAAGACGGACUAAUACCGCGUACACUUGGGAUAGGGCAUCCUGACCCAAGGCAAUGAAAUUCGCUGUGAGAUAGGCAUGCGUCCCAUUAGCUAGUUGGUGAGGUAACGGCUCACCAAGGCGACGAUGGGUAUGGGAACUGAGAGGUUGAACCCCCAGACUGGGACUGGGACACGGACCAGACACCUACGGGAGGCAGCAGUGAGGAAGAUUGGUCAAUGGGAGAGAGCCUGAACCAGCCAAGUCGGGUGAAGGAGGACUGUGUUAGGGAUUGUAAACUUCUUGUAUACGGGAAUAACAAGAGCCACGUGUGGCUCCCUGCAGGUACCGUAUGAAUAAGCAUCGGCUAACUCCGUG
This 490-nucleotide ribosomal RNA is filed under the name uncultured bacterium. RNAcentral describes it as "partial 16S ribosomal RNA". It matches the Rfam family "Bacterial small subunit ribosomal RNA", at positions 28 to 507 of the family's 1533-position model. The record is from RNAcentral.